This is a microRNA precursor of Oryza sativa Japonica Group (Japanese rice), 196 nucleotides long. It matches the Rfam family "MIR812 microRNA precursor family". The record is from Rfam. NCBI's taxonomy places the organism in Eukaryota, Viridiplantae, Streptophyta, Magnoliopsida, Poales, Poaceae.
AAAAAGGCAAACUCUAGAUUUUUAUGUCCAACUCCGUCUUAUAUGAAUUUUGUUUAUAAUUCGUAUUUUCAUUGUUGUUAGAUGAUAAAACAUGAUUAAUAUUUCAUGCGUGACUUGUCUUUUUAAUUUUUUUAUAAUUUUUUCAAAUAAGACGGACGGUCAAACAUUGGGCACGAAAACCAGAGUUUGACAGAGG